Chiloscyllium plagiosum (whitespotted bambooshark) is the source of this 1170-nucleotide non-coding RNA. The record is from RefSeq and is a predicted model, not a curated record. Lineage: Eukaryota; Metazoa; Chordata; Chondrichthyes; Orectolobiformes; Hemiscylliidae.
GGUUUGGAUGAAUUGAGCUGAGUCCCUGUGGAGGGUUUAAACAACCUCAGUGAAGGGGGAGCUUUCUGGGCUUGGGGCUGUAAUUCAGUCAUGUUUAAGGAGAUGGUCUGUCCCUCCCUCCGUUAAACACAGGAAGCAGUUCCAGAGAAAAUCGUUCCAACAUUUUCUUACCAAAUGUCAAUUUCUCAGAAUCCAGUAACAUUAUCACAUUGGAGUUCCUCAAGUGGUGUUGGAAGCAGAGGUCAAACUCUCACACAUUUGCUGUCAAGCAUCAGCACUGAAGCAAAUAUUCCAGCAAGUGUCCAAACAAUCCAGCUCUACAAGUCUUUUUAUCCAUGUAUUCCGUAAAUGUAUCCUUGUGUUCACAACAACAGAACGUCUCCAAGACCUGCAAACUCAGGAAGUGAAGUGGAGCUCAUUGCGUGAGUCAGUAUCCGAUGCUGCCAGACCUGCUGAGCUUUUCAAGCGACUUCUGUUUUUGUUUCUGAUUUACAACAUCCGCAGUUCUCUUGUUUUUUACUUUACCCCCUUUCACAGGUUCAGGAACCCAGGCACAAAGACAAUGCUGAUACCUGCAGCUCCAACUAGUUACCACUCUAAUUCAAAUCAAACCUUCAGGCUGUCAGUACACAGAGGGAAAAAUAUUCUCAGAAGAUCCAAUGACUAAAUCAUGGAAGAGUAGGGAAGUUAUCUGUGAUGUCUUGAUCAAUACAGAUCCCACAAUUCAUGUGAGAAAACUGAUUAUCUAAUCUUUUGUCUUUUGGAAAUUUGCUGUGCCACCAUGUUUACUGGAUGCCAUUGAUGGUACAUUCCAAUUGUAAGUACACUUGUAAAAGCAUUUCAUUAGCUCUGUUGUAGUUUUUAUGAACUGAGUUUGUGAAAGUUGAUAUAUAGAUGCAAAUUUUGUGUCCUGUGAACUGAAAGUUAAACCCAUAUAUGGUGAAGAUAUCUCAGCCCACAGUGACAUGAAUCAGUUUUUGUGUGCUAGACUCUUACUGUGUUUCAGUGAAAACGAACACACCAUGUUGACAAACCAGGUAGAUUAGUGCAGAUAAAAAAGUGAAUUUAUUGUCAGUUAUGAAUCUGUACAGAAGAUUGACAAAAUAAAAAGUAUUUGAAAAUUAUUCCAAGAUCUUUCUCAGAACAGAAGAGUCUAAGAUGAACUUAUCC